UGUUUAAUCCGCCAUUUUUAAAAUUCACUUUCGUCUAGUCGUACGAUUUAAUUCGUUUUUGAAAUGCUCGUCAUCAACAAUCAGGUGCUACAAACCCUCUGGCCUGAGCUCCGCAAUUGCAACUGAAGAAUCCUGUAUGAUUUUGGAUGACACAACCUUGUCCGCAAUUGCAUUUGAAGAUUCUCGUUUGAUUUCCAAGAAGAAGGCUUUCAGUUGUCCAGGCCAGGCCAGGUGACCAAUGACAAUGAUAGAUCGGGUUCGAUUCAAGCUAUAUACGCUUGGUGUAUUUGGUUAUCGUGACUGGCGACUUGAGUCUAUCUCAUCUCAUGUCCAAGGCGCGGUGGCUGGGUCCCAGGCAUGCUUGCCACUUUGUUCUGCGGUCCUCAUCUAAGUUUCGACGGUGAUGACAUGGACUAAGGUUCAGGGUACGUGUUCCCCUUGAGUCAUUGUGGUUGAUUGAUAGGGGAAAUAAGAGUUGCGUGUUGCUAGUCAUUCAAUUGGUCCCCUUGUUUUAGAGUGUUGGCGGGAUAAGUCUUACGACUGUUAACAAUAGUAAGCAAUAGCUGGCCAGCGAUCCCCUACCUGAUCUCGAGGGGGAUGGAAUGACUGGGGUCGAGACCUGUUGUUAGCCUGCGGAAUUUCGUCGGACGAAAUGUCAGGCGUGUCCGUGUGGUACUAAUGUGCUAAACAAGUUUAGUGCUAUUGACGAAGACAUUGGGCUCUUUGGAUAACAACAGUGUUCUUGACCUCCUUGUGCUCCACAAAGCUUAUAUAUACCCGCUGAAAUCGACAAGACGGCGAUGAAGAAGGAGAGCCGGCCUCCAACUCGUCAGCCGAGAAGACACUGGAUGGACCCGAAGAAGAUGUUGCUACCAAUGUUGGAGCCAUAAAGGGCAGCCCGAGCCAACAUUGUACAAGGGCCACAAGGACAAGGGACACAAGGACAAGGGAUACAAAAGAUGAUGUUGCAGACUGCAGACUGCUGCAGAUUGAGAUGAUGGCUGUCGAGAAGACCCAACCACUCAACCAAGAUCUACAAUUCGUUCUAUGGUAGAUGUAACUCUCAAAGUUUUUGGAUGACGAAGGAAUCCAACACAUGUCGCUCACCGAUACGGGCAGACAACUGAGAGUCGAGUGGAUUCAGUGGAUCGAAUGGUUGCGCUGAGGGAUGUCCAUGCACAGGAGUGACGAACCACAGUUCAGCAAACGAUGCCUUGACAGACCAAUUCAAGGAGAACCUUCUCUAAGAUCAGGAAGGGAACGUGUUUGCUGUGUGGAUGGAUUGAACACUUAAAUGUCCGUCAUUCUAAUAGACGAUAAUGACAAUCUUCUAUAGACUAUAAUGACAAUCGAACUCCAAGGGACUCUCUGGACUUAGGGCUUAGAGCUACGGCCAUAGAGCCCUGACAUGAUAUCCUGCAGCCACCACGAGGACAGCCAUUCUCAAUGUCGUACAUUCAGAAGGAUGCCAUCACACGCAUGGUGAAACAUCCCACGGAAGGAAGGAGGUUGUUCCCCACGCCGUCAGUCAAUACGACGGUCAGAUUGUAUUUUGUCACCGUAGGCCUUAUCGUUUGAUCAAAAUAUCUGAUUGAAAGGUGAUUUAAUGAAAAUUCAAAUUUUUCUGAUGGUGAGAAUUUAUUCACCUUGCUUUCUACAAGGAUAGAUUCUUUUGAUCUAUGCUUGGUCAUGACCAUGAUUUAUGCCAUGGUUCAAAAUCUUUCACUUAUUAAAGGAAGAAAUUGAAAUAACCAUUAUGGGGGGUUGGGUUGUUUCUGACUGACAAGGGAGCCAAUGUGGCUCGCCUGAACCAAAACAAAAUAAUUUUCAAGGAAAAUUUUGUGCUUAAGAUAAAGAAGGAAGAACAAUUUAAGGUGGGUGGGUUGUUGGUUGCUACCAGAGGAGCCAACAGCCGCCUUGGACCCUGAAAUUCUUUUCAGGCAAAACUUAUCAUUCUGCUUAAAAAAUCACCGAAUUCAUCAGAUAUUCAUUUGAUUAUAUCCAUCCCUUUAGACAUGGGGUCCAUGUGUUGUUGUUUCGCUGACCCCACGAAACAAGAACACAUGUGUCUGAUGGAACCGUAGGCUUUUCAUUCCGUUUCUCGAUCUCAUCAGUAUCAUAGAAUUAACUGACAUGGCCUGGGCUCCGAUGCCCUGGACCGUUUGUCACACUGGCUGGCUCAGUUGCUCAGUACGUGAAUGCCUUCAUGCUGGAGACAACUGACCAAUCGCCCAGUGAUAUGUUGAAAUUGAAUUUUCCUACCUGGGCAAGGCCCGGUGCCAAAAAAUCUUAAAAUACCAAAACAUCUUUACAAUUGAACUAAAACAGUUGGUUGAAAUAUCACUGUUUUGGUGAAAAUGAACCUUGCCAGAAUAUCAAGUUUGAAUUUUUGAUAUUCUUAUGAAAAGUUUUAAAGACUGGUCCUUCCCUAGCCUUUGUCGUCAGUGUGUGUUCUCAGCACCAGCAUUCGACAAUGGUGGCAUGCAUGCAUGUUUUGUAACCAUGGUUACGACUGACCUUUUGAUAUUCUUUUGAAAACUUUUGAAAAAUUUGACAAACAAGACUGAUCUUACCCUAGUGGUCAAAACAGUUCAGUCUUUUAAAAAUUUC
Long non-coding RNA from Lineus longissimus, 2610 nucleotides. RefSeq lists it as uncharacterized. Lineage: Eukaryota; Metazoa; Nemertea; Pilidiophora; Heteronemertea; Lineidae. The record is from RefSeq and is a predicted model, not a curated record. The transcript is spliced from 8 exons.